This 616-nucleotide long non-coding RNA is filed under the name Monodelphis domestica (gray short-tailed opossum). RNAcentral describes it as "lncRNA (ENSMODG00000043991.1)". The record is from RNAcentral. Lineage: Eukaryota; Metazoa; Chordata; Mammalia; Didelphimorphia; Didelphidae.
AUGGAGCCCUUGGGCAUGGGGCAGAUGGUUCUUCCAUGGGAUAUGACAGCAGGCAUUAGAGAGACCACAGCUCUUGCCAAUUCUGACCCAUAUUCUUCCUCUGCUACUACUCUGUUGCCAUCCAGGGAUCUACCAUUCAAGAUUUCUGAAGGGCAAGUCCCUAGGAGUGGGACAAUCAACUCAUCUUUACUGAGUGACCAAUACUGGGAAAAAGAGAAGACCCUGGAGCUACACAAGCAUACUUUCUGAAGAUGCCAAUCAUAUGGAAACCACUGAACAGUUUGGAGGAAGAUGAAAAUAAGGCAGUGCUUGCUAUCAAGGGCCUGGAGAAACCCUUAAAAAGAGAAGUCAAGUGAAAUUUGGGCAAGACUGAGACCUCAGACCCGGUUUGGGACAUUGAAGACUCUAUGUAAAAACUAUUCUCUCACAGACUUUGAGACACUCCUAGACCUUGUAAUGAACUGUCCUACCCAAGCCCCUAGGCAGGGUAAAGGACGUAGUGUGGAUACCUUUCUGUUGUAACUCUAAUUUUGCUCUUUCCACUCCCUCCCAUUCUUCUUCAAUUAUAUCUUCGGCUUUCAAUAAACAUUUGCCAAACUAAUGCUCCUGGUGUUUC